This is a long non-coding RNA of Brassica napus (rape), 530 nucleotides long. RefSeq lists it as uncharacterized. The transcript has 2 exons. Lineage: Eukaryota; Viridiplantae; Streptophyta; Magnoliopsida; Brassicales; Brassicaceae. The record is from RefSeq and is a predicted model, not a curated record.
GGUAAAUCAAAUAUUUCAAUUACAAAUUAAUUUAAAAUCUUGAUCUAGGAGAAACGCUGGCCACACAUUUUUUAUCUACUAUAUUUGCCUUUAUCUUUUUUACUCUCUCACAGAUUCCAUUCUACGAAGAGAAAAAAACAUUUGAUUUCCUCUCAUUCUCUGGUUGAUGACGACCGGUGUUAAAAGAGUAAAGUUUGAGGCUGAGAUUCGAAGGCCUGGUGUCAAGGUUGUUUGCAACAGAGAGAAUUCUGAGCAAAUAGUUAAAUGUGUACUCAAAGUCGGAUGUUUUUUUGUUUGGUAUGGAACCUCCACUCGGUGGGAUGUUUUUUUCUUGGAUUAUAUAUGUAAGUUUGUUGGAAUUUAAGUGGAUGGUUGAAUAGGUCAUCGUACAUGAGGAAAUGAAAUGGGAGUAUAAAAUCCAAGUGUACGUGUCGGUGUAUGUAGUAUACAAAACACAUUGUAUAUGGUGUGUGUGUACAACAAUUGUGGAAGGAUAAUUGUGGACAGAGAUGGUGGAGGCUUUACGUACA